RNAcentral lists this ribosomal RNA (225 nucleotides) under uncultured bacterium. RNAcentral's name for it is "partial 16S ribosomal RNA". It matches the Rfam family "Bacterial small subunit ribosomal RNA", at positions 109 to 334 of the family's 1533-position model. The record is from RNAcentral.
AGUAACGCGUGAGGAACCUGCCUUUCAGAGGGGGACAACAGUUGGAACGACUGCUAAUACCGCAUGACGCAUUUUGAUCGCAUGGGUCGAAAUGCCAAAGAUUUAUCGCUGAAAGAUGGCCUCGCGUCUGAUUAGAUAGUUGGUGAGGUAACGGCCCACCAAGGCGACGAUCGGUAGCCGGACUGAGAGGUUGAACGGCCACAUUGGGACUGAGACACGGCCCAG